CGAGGUGUAGUAUAGCGGUAGUAUUUGCCCAUGGGGUGGGUAAGGCAGGAGUUCGACUCUCCUCACCUCGA
RNAcentral lists this transfer RNA (71 nucleotides) under Candidatus Taylorbacteria bacterium RIFCSPHIGHO2_01_FULL_43_47. RNAcentral's name for it is "tRNA-Pro". It matches the Rfam family "tRNA". From Rfam's summary of the family: Transfer RNA (tRNA) molecules are approximately 80 nucleotides in length. Their secondary structure includes four short double-helical elements and three loops (D, anti-codon, and T loops). Lineage: Bacteria; Candidatus Tayloriibacteriota. RNAcentral also lists the same sequence under 3 other names. The record is from RNAcentral.